AAUGCAGUGCCCGAACAGGGCGUUGUAAUUGGAAUGAGAACAAUUUAAAUCCCUUAUCGAUUAACAAUUAGAGGGCAAGUCUGGUGCCAGCAGCCGCGGUAAUUCCAGCUCUAAUAGCGUAUAUUAAAGUUGUUGCAGUUAAAAAGCUCGUAGUUGGAUUUCGGCGUGCGCUCAGGCUGGUCGGCCGUCAAGGUCUGUACCGUUUGGGUCACGCCCCACUGUAGGAUACUCACCGCUGUCCUUAACUGGGUGGCGGUCAAAGGGGGUGUGCAUGGGGGCAACUCUGUGCAUAUCUCUGGGGUUCCUACUCUUUUACUUUGAGCAAAUUAGAGUGUUCAAAGCAGGCAAUCGAGCCUUGAAUACUUCAGCAUGGGAUAAUGGAACAGGACUGGGGUCCUGAUUUCGUUGGUUUCUGGGAUCUCAGUAAUGAUUAAUAGGGAUAGUUGGGGGCAUUAGUAUUUAAUUGUCAGAGGUGAAAUUCUUGGAUUUAUGAAAGACUAACUUCUGCGAAAGCAUUUGCCAAGGAUGUUUUCAUUAAUCAAGAACGAAAGUUAGGGGAUCGAAGACGAUCAGAUACCGUCGUAGUCUUAACCAUAAACGAUGCCGACCAGCGAUUGGGAGACGUUACAUGGAUGACUCCCCCAGCAGCUUGCGAGAAAUCACAAGUCUUUGGGUUCCGGGGGGAGUAUGGUCGCAAGGCUGAAACUUAAAGGAAUUGACGGAAGGGCACCACCAGGAGUGGAGCCUGCGGCUUAAUUUGACCCAACACGGGGAAACUUACCAGGUCCAGACAUAGUAAGGAUUGACAGAUUUGAGAGCUCUUUCUUGAUACUAUGGGCGGUGGUGCAUGGCCGUUCUUAGUUGGUGGAGUGAUUUGUCUGGUUAAUUCCGUUAACGAACGAGACCUUAACCUGCUAAAUAUGUCACUGGUAGACUUCUGCCAAAACAGGUGGGUGUCUAGGGGAAAGUUUCGAUGGACUCCGACGCAUUCAUCUGUGGAUGACUACCAGGAUGUACUUCUUAGAGGGACUAUCUGUAUCAAAGCAGAUGGAAGUUUGAGGCAAUAACAGGUCUGUGAUGCCCUUAGAUGUUCUGGGCCGCACGCGCGCUACACUGACAAGUUCAACGAGUUUAACACCUUGCUCGAUAGGGCUGAGUAAUCUUUGAAAAACUUGUCGUGAUGGGGAUAGAUCAUUGUAAUUAUUGGUCUUCAACGAGGAAUUCCUAGUAAGCGUGAGUCAUCAGCUCGCGUUGAUUACGUCCCUGCCCUUUGUACACACCGCCCGUCGCUCCUACCGAUUGAAUGAUCCGGUGAAAUGUUGGGAGCUGGGGUCUUUUGGCGGCGGGGCAACUCGUCGUCAGGGAUUCUGCAAACUUCAUUAAACCUUAUCAUUUAGA
Molecule: ribosomal RNA, 1398 nt
Filed under: metagenome
Description: SSU rRNA
Rfam family: Eukaryotic small subunit ribosomal RNA
Source: RNAcentral